AAAUUGAAGAGUUUGAUCAUGGCUCAGAUUGAACGCUGGCGGCAGGCCUAACACAUGCAAGUCGAGCGGUAGCACAGAGAGCUUGCUCUCGGGUGACGAGCGGCGGACGGGUGAGUAAUGUCUGGGAAACUGCCUGAUGGAGGGGGAUAACUACUGGAAACGGUAGCUAAUACCGCAUAACGUCGCAAGACCAAAGUGGGGGACCUUCGGGCCUCAUGCCAUCAGAUGUGCCCAGAUGGGAUUAGCUAGUAGGUGGGGUAACGGCUCACCUAGGCGACGAUCCCUAGCUGGUCUGAGAGGAUGACCAGCCACACUGGAACUGAGACACGGUCCAGACUC
RNAcentral lists this ribosomal RNA (339 nucleotides) under Klebsiella pneumoniae. Its description in RNAcentral is "bacterial SSU rRNA". It matches the Rfam family "Bacterial small subunit ribosomal RNA", at positions 1 to 338 of the family's 1533-position model. The record is from RNAcentral. Lineage: Bacteria; Pseudomonadati; Pseudomonadota; Gammaproteobacteria; Enterobacterales; Enterobacteriaceae. RNAcentral also lists the same sequence under 2 other names.